Long non-coding RNA from Larimichthys crocea (large yellow croaker), 1340 nucleotides. RefSeq lists it as uncharacterized. The transcript has 4 exons. NCBI's taxonomy places the organism in Eukaryota, Metazoa, Chordata, Actinopteri, Sciaenidae. The record is from RefSeq and is a predicted model, not a curated record.
AACAGCGUUGUGUUUGUACAAGUGAAUCCCCCUCGGCAAAGAUCUUUUCUGACAUCCAAAGGAAGACACAAAAGGAGCUGACAGGAGGCCUGGAGGAGAGGACUAAAAGUGACGACAUGGAGCUCAGCGGGGUCAAAAGUGAAGUACCUGACCCGACCAAUGGGGGUCUAACUUCACAGGAGGAACGUCAGUCUGAAGCUUCGUCUUCCAGCCCACAAGAGAAUGACCAUGAGCAACCUCAGCAACCCAUGUAUCUGUGUGAGGACUUUUGCCAGACAGUAGCUUCGUCUGUUUGAUGACAUCUGCCACAGCAAUCACUGCUGAUUGGAUGAUUUCACCCCCAUCAGACUCUGGUCCUGCAGGAGACGUCUCCUUCACUACGGAUUUACCCACAGUCCUCUGGGUGCAGAAUCAGAGCAAAAAAGUGAGCCACCUACCUGUUCAGUCAGAUAUACACUAAGAUGCAGAUGAAUGUUUUUCUGCCAAGUCAUGUUGAAACUGUAAAUUGAAUAUGUCUCUUUAAAUGUCACAUGAAUGCUGUUACCUUCGGACAGAGCCAAGCUAGUUGUUUCCCCCUGUUUCCAGUAUUUAUGCUAAGCUAAGGGUUUUAAAAUCAUUUUUAGCCGUGCAUGUUUCCCUUGUGUUUGUGAAACAGCAGCUUCACAUUACCUGACUGUUGCAGCCCUGAUAUUUGAAACAUCUGGGUCAUACAGACAUCUAAGUCAUCUUUAUUUGAACACAACCCUGUUGUAGCCCUGAUAUUUGAAACAUCUGGGUCAUACAGAUAUCUAAGUCAUCUUUAUUUGAACACAUAUCCACCCUGCACUUAUCAUCGCAGGUCUGCUGAAUUGCACAAAUUGCUGACACAAGCCUCAAUGUCCUAUUUUGCCUCGCUUUUUUUUUCCCCCCAUAUUUGAUUUUUGCACUUCGUCACAUGUGCUCAUCCUUACAAACCGGGUUAUUUUAAGCACCCGUCUGGAUGUUUUAGCGGGGGAGGAAAGCGAGAGUUUGUGUCUCAGGGAUAAAUACAAACAGACACAGCUGGGACAAACAGGGUAAGUCAUCUAGUCUGCACUUUUGCCCCCUCAGGCAUCUAAAGUCAACACAGCAUUACUGAAUUCCACCAAGUGUGUUGUUAUAUAUCUGCGUUGUCAAGAGUAAGUGAUUACAUUUUAACCAAAAGUAUGUAUUUUUUAUGCUACGGAAUAAAAACUACAUGGCAUAUUUAUAGAUUUCUCAGUUUGUUGUCUCUGAGAGUCUACAGUGGGAUCUUUAAUUGUGGGAUUUUUUGCAAGAGACUGUGUACAAGCAACAGAAACUUAAAAUGGAAACCGAAUUCA